CUGUGCUGUGCAGUUGAAAGACGUCGCUCGCUGGCUUCCACCGAACGAAAAGGCUCGCAAAUUAGACGCGAAAAAAACAUCAUUAAGUGGAGGAAUGAGGGAGAUGCAGUGAAGACUGAGGAGUCUGAAGACAGACGGACUAAGGGUAAAAAGGUAAAGGUUACCGGGAAGAGAGAGCAGGAUGCAGUCCCACCCACAGGACAGGCCAUUCGCCCUCUCCACAGGGAAAUCCCACAGCCCGACCAACGGGAGAGAAGAACAGGUGCACUCAGACGCAGACUCCAUGGAGGAAGAGGCAGACUUUAAUUGGGAGG
Long non-coding RNA from Coregonus clupeaformis (lake whitefish), 314 nucleotides. RefSeq lists it as uncharacterized. The record is from RefSeq and is a predicted model, not a curated record. The transcript has 3 exons. Lineage: Eukaryota; Metazoa; Chordata; Actinopteri; Salmoniformes; Salmonidae.